CGAGCGCGGCGGCGGGAGGGGAUGCUUCUCUGCCGCCAUGGUCGCCAUGGGACCCCGCCGGCUGGAAGGAAAGGGGCGCGUGAAUAAGAGGAGGGAGAAAAUCAUCUGAGCUCAGUGCACUGGAGGUUGGGAAAACUCCUGGAGAAAGGAUUGUACUGAGGUCCAGUGAAAGUGAAGGAGGAGCCUGUCCUCUCUGGGGUCCCAAACUGAGUUUUGACACAGUCACUCUGCAACUCAAGCUAAAACUGGUUUGCCUGUUCCAAUAGGAACAAAGCAUAAAUGAUGACAACAAGGUUUCUGCCAAGCAGUUUCGGUGCACUCCAGAGAGAGCCCCUCCUCAUGCCAGGAUGGUAUCCUGGAGUGGAGACCUUUUUGGGAGAGCCUGCUACGGGAAAACAAAAGGCGUUUCCAUUCCGGGCACAGCUCUGGAAGGCGGGAGGUGUUAACGAGCCCUGUGUGCGGGGUGACUCCGCUUCCACUCCAGCGCCAUCGGGGCGGAUCCGUGAUCCCUGUCCAGGCACAUCACGCAGAAAAAUGAACCAACAUACUUCCUGCACAAGUUCGCUCUGUGAGAACAGCAGCUUGCUGUGCUUUGUCAUUUCCUCACUUUUAGACACUGAUCAGACAGUCACCUUCACAAAACUAUCAGGUGAUCUCAUUAUUGUUCCCUAAGAGAAUAAGUGUGGGUGGUUUUUUUUUGUUUUUUUUUUUUUUUUUUUUUUCUUUUUUUUUCUUUUUUUCUUUUUUUCUCUUUUUUUGUUUAAUAAAACUGAAAGUGGGCUGAAGGAAAUCGUGGCACCUGGAAUUGCAAAGCUGCAGCUGGAUCUCAAAACCCUGCUGAGCACAGGAACAUUGCUGGAGCCUGUGGGGACUGAAAAAUGGCAAGAGUAAGAUCUGCGUUUUAUACAACUGAUGCUAUUAAAUGAGUUCUGUGGUUGCAUGGACGUAUCUGCUUGUUCUGACCUGUUAGGUGCCAGAGUGUUUGUAUACUUCUAUGUAAAAAAUUGAGUAGUUUGUGUGGAUCUCCUUCUUAAAACAACCUGCAGGUGAAAGGAGGUUAAGAGCUCAGCAAUCCAAAUGACAAUUUCUGUCCAUGUCAAAUUACAGGAAAAUGGUUAUUUACAUGGAAAGAGUAAACCAUCUACAAUCAAGAAAAUCAAAGUUCCUGGGUGGGUGAACAUGUGGAGUUUCAUGGCAAAGUCUCCACUGCUGCAUUCACUUCUUCCUUUUUUUAUUCAGGUAUUCUUUGACCCAAACAUGUGGUGUCUAUUGAAUUUCACCCACCCCCUGCUGUCCUGCCUGAGGUUCACAGUCAUGGCAGAUGUGUUGUUAAGGUUGACAUAACCAGGAUAUUUGGUGGUGGGCAACAGCCCUAUUCUUCUCCAGACUGGACAACAUCCCCAUUCUGUUCUUCCUUCAGCCCUGUCAUUUUAACCAGUCCUUUCCCUGACAGAUAGCACAGAGUAAGACAGGAAAAUCACAGGCCCUAAAACAUCACAGGUGUUCUCUGCAGUCACCUCUGCCGAGCCUGGCAUGAUGUGUUUGGGCUGGAUGCAGAAAAUGCCACUGGACACCACAAAAAUCCCAUCAGGGAUGUCCUUGGCAGUCCUGGGGGAGGUUGUAGCACAUCCUCUGCAUGGCUCCUCUCUCAGGAAAAGCUUUGUCUUGUUAUAUAAAAGGCAUCACAAGCAUUAUGUGCCACCCACCCGCUGCUCCUGUUCACCCCUGGAUCAGGAUGGCUUUGUAUCAAGCCAAAAAGUGCUUGAAGCUGAGAUACAAAUACACCUGUUAUCUCCAUGUGUUUAUAUAAUCAUAGAAAACAUCUUAUUAUUUCUGAAAUAAUACAUAUGUGCUUUUAUAGUAUUUCCCCCCCUGGAGCCUUGCUGGAUGAAAGGUGUCAUUACAUAAAAUAUUUUAUUCAUGGCCAUGUUUAUCCAGACUGUGACACCCUUUUCCAGAGACAUUAUCUAAUUCUAGCAUCUGAGAGAAUCUUUGAAUAAGAUUUUGUGGUAACCACAAAUAACAAAGGGAGGAAGAUUGUGGAAAGGUAAAAAGGCUGAUCUUGAUUUGCAGCAGGCGAGCUAAAAAUUCCCUGCAGUCCCUCAGUCCUACAUCCCAGUCUCUUUGUGCUGCUUUGCUCUUUAAUAAUGGCUUCUUUUUUUUUUUUUUUCUUUUUAAAAAGGACAAGACAAAUUGUCUAGCCACAAGAAUUUAAACAAUGCUUUUAAUCUGAGUGAAGAAAUGUACUGCACUGCUUGGCUGCCUUUAAAGUCUACUAUUGCGAUAUGUCAGCAAAAGGUGUAUUUGUAGAAGGGAGAGCUGUAGCUUAAUGCAGCAGCACCAUAAAGUUAUUUAUCCCUGCUGUGCUUGAUUUACAAUUCUCAAUAACUUCCUUGACAUUUUUUUUUUCUGCUAAGAAACCUUGAGGUGGUGCCUGCAGAGGUGGAAGCAGGGGGUGAUUCACUGCUGCUCACCCCUGGUGCUGCCCUUGCCUCUCAGCCAGACAAGCUGGUCGAUGAUUCAUUUUAAUUCUUCUGUAAAUAACCUGAGUUUUAAGAAAAGAGAAAUUUCACUGCAUCCCUUCAUCUGAAAUGCACUGAAUUUUUGUUGAAUGGAAAUAAACAUUUUCACCCAAAGGGCUGGUGACA
This is a long non-coding RNA of Passer domesticus (house sparrow), 2648 nucleotides long. RefSeq lists it as uncharacterized. The record is from RefSeq and is a predicted model, not a curated record. Lineage: Eukaryota; Metazoa; Chordata; Aves; Passeriformes; Passeridae. The transcript is spliced from 6 exons.